UUCAAAAUGGCACCUUUAUUCAUUCCACUCUUCCUCCUGACCCUGCUCGCAGGUCCUUCCUCCCAGCUCCAGUUAAAGGAAUCUGGACCAGGAGUACUGAGGCCAGGAGAGACCCUCACACUGACCUGUACAGUCACGGGGGGCUCUGUCACAAGCAGCUACUAUUGGAAUUGGGUACGACAGACUCCUGGGAAAGGGUUGGAAUGGAUGGGGUACUGGACUGGGAGCACACGCUAUGCUGCAGCUUUCCAUGGCCGAAUCACCAUCUCGGUGGACCCUUCCGAAACAAAGUACUUUCUCCAGCUGAGCUCUGUGACAGCUGCAGACACCGCCAUGUAUUACUGUGCCAGAAGCACAGAGAGACAGAUUAAAGGAGGACCUGUACAAAAAGGGGAAGUGGGUUGUAGCAGUGCUGUGAGGAUGAUGUAA
Elgaria multicarinata webbii is the source of this 429-nucleotide non-coding RNA. NCBI's taxonomy places the organism in Eukaryota, Metazoa, Chordata, Lepidosauria, Squamata, Anguidae. The record is from the annotation of a RefSeq genome assembly.